GUGCCUGUGGCUCAAAGGGGUAGGGCGCUAGCCCUAUAUGCUGGAGGUGGCAGGUUCAAACCCAGCCCUGGCCA
Non-coding RNA from Otolemur garnettii (small-eared galago), 74 nucleotides. The record is from Rfam. Lineage: Eukaryota; Metazoa; Chordata; Mammalia; Primates; Galagidae.